This 460-nucleotide ribosomal RNA is filed under the name uncultured bacterium. Its description in RNAcentral is "partial 16S ribosomal RNA". It matches the Rfam family "Bacterial small subunit ribosomal RNA", at positions 338 to 795 of the family's 1533-position model. The record is from RNAcentral.
CCUACGGGGGGCAGCAGUGAGGAAUAUUGGUCAAUGGACGAGAGUCUGAACCAGCCAAGUAGCGUGAAGGAUGACUGCCCUAUGGGUUGUAAACUUCUUUUAUAUGGGAAUAAAAUGUUCCACGUGUGGGAUUUUGUAUGUACCAUAUGAAUAAGGAUCGGCUAACUCCGUGCCAGCAGCCGCGGUAAUACGGAGGAUCCGAGCGUUAUCCGGAUUUAUUGGGUUUAAAGGGAGCGUAGGUGGAUUGUUAAGUCAGUUGUGAAAGUUUGCGGCGCAACCGUAAAAUUGCAGUUGAAACUGGCAGUCUUGAGUACAGUAGAGGUGGGCGGAAUGCGUGGUGUAGCGGUGAAAUGCUUAGAUAUCACGAAGAACUCCGAUUGCGAAGGCAGUUCACUGGACUGCAACUGACACUGAGGCUCGAAAGUGUGGGUAUCAAACAGGAUUAGAUACCCGAGUAGUC